Molecule: unclassified non-coding RNA, 364 nt
Filed under: Hevea brasiliensis (rubber tree)
Lineage: Eukaryota; Viridiplantae; Streptophyta; Magnoliopsida; Malpighiales; Euphorbiaceae
Source: RNAcentral
CUCUCUCUCUCUCUCUCUCAAUCUUUCCCCAUCUGUUCUUCCUAUUUCUUCUCAUUUUCCUCUCUGUUCAUGCUAUUUCCAAGCGGCUAAACACCAUAAGACAGGCCUGCAAUUUCAGGAUCCAACAACUUUGAUUUGUCAUUCACAUCAUUGUUUCCUUCAUAUACCAUUUUAGCUAAAAAGCGAUAGUCUCUCAGGAUCCAACUUGGCUCUAAUACCAAGAUUUUAGAAUCUAAAAUUACAGGUCUAACUUAUAGUGUUUAGAACAUAGCUUUAAAUAUUUACAGGUUUUUAGAAGCCCCAUCACCUGUUAAGCCAUUACCUGAAGGCAAAUCCCGGUUUGCAUUGGUAACGGCCAUUACCA